Molecule: long non-coding RNA, 8878 nt
Organism: Manis javanica (Malayan pangolin)
Lineage: Eukaryota; Metazoa; Chordata; Mammalia; Pholidota; Manidae
Source: RefSeq, a predicted model, not a curated record
GGUGGGCGGAAGGGUGCUUUCCGCCUCAGCUCCGCCCCUCGCGGGUGAGGCAGGCUGUGCGGGACACUCCCAGGCUUCGGCUUCCCACGCCCACUUCGUUCCCAUGUGUCCUCGUCACCAUCAGUAUUGAAAAGGCACUUUCUCAAGUCUGCACACAGGUCCUGAGAGGACGUCCGUAUCUUCUUUGCUGAUGGAGGAACACCACUCCGACAAUGGUGAAAGCAAGAAACAUUCCCGCGAGGACCACAAAGAUGCGGAUGCAGUCUGGGCUGCACAGGGACCUUUCGGCUGUGACGGGCAGGGGCCACACCGCGGGUUUGGGGAAGGGCCUAGUGCUUGACUCCCCGUAUUCCAGGCCUCCUGUUGUCCUGCCUCUCUCCUCUCCCCGACUCCACCCAGCCGGUGAACAAGUCCCCUCCUAAUUCCCACACUCUGCUGCUGCUCCCUUUUCUCACCCCUAGUCCCAGGACCUUUCUGGGCAUUCUCUCUGCAGUUGGGAAGUGGGGACAAAACUCACGUGGCCAUGAGGUGGAGAGAGCUGGGGCAGGCAGCUGCCUGAAGUCAGCCAGAGUCUGAAAGUGCUGGGUUGUCCUGGCCUCUAUUACCUCUGGCAAAACACACAGAGUGAGCAUCAGCAGGGAUCCCGCAGCAACUAAGGCUGGGCUGGAGGCCUAAGAGGUGCUGGGUGAGAUGGGAAGGCAGACAGGCUGGCCAGGCAGCUCAUGUGGGAUGGGUACCACGUGUAGGGUGCUGGUUGGGGUGUGACCCUUACUGCUGUGGCAGGACAGAGGGUUGCCUGGAACUUACUUUUGGCAUAAGGUAAGUGGCUGGGUUGUGGGGGAGAGCCCAGGGUUGGAGAUGGAUGCUGGCUCAGCGCGGCGUUGGGAGGAGGGUCACAUUCCGUGCACUCCUUGUCCCUGCACUGCCAGUCCUCGGAGCAAGCACACUCGGCAUUGGCAGUGAGGGUGCAGUUUCGAAUGAGAAGACCUGGGGACAGAGGAGGGCCACACAGGACCCUCAGGCCUCAGAGGCCUGGAAGGCCCACUUGCUUAGUCCUCCCCGCCAGGCCCCACCUCAGACCCACCUCCAGGGACAUGCUGCCCUCUGUGUCCUCCCCACCCCCACCGGAAACUUGACCCUGUCACUGUCACCCACUGCCUUUGCCAUUAUUGCUGUUGUCAUUACAGAAAAAACUUGGACCUUUUGGAAAACUCAUGAUUCAGAAAUAGGAACACUGAAAAGUAGAAACAGCUUACGAGAUUUUCUGUCUUACUGAUACCUUUAUAACUUGUAACUGAAGCAUAGCAUACUUAGAGGUGCACAUGCCAUAAAUAUAAUGCAUGAGAACUGGUACCAAUUGAGUUCAUAGGAGUAAGCAGCACCAGAUCAAGAAACAAGAUGACCAGCAGUGUCAUCUAACACCCCCAAGAAUAGCGACUAGGUUGACUUUUACUGGUGCCAGUCGUUUUGCACCACAUGUAUAGACUCGUGUGUGCUCAUCUGUCCAGCUGCUUUUGCUCAGUCUCUGUGAGAGUCCUCUGUAUUGCUGCCUGCGACCACAGUCUGUGCUCAUGCUGUGUAGUAUUCCACCGUAUGAAUGGGCCAUGACUGGUCCAUCCCUUCUGAUGUUAACAGGCAUUUGGAUAGUUUCCAGUUUUUAGCAAUCAGAAAUCGUGUUGCAGUGGUUUCUGGUAGGUUUUUCCACUCUACUAGAAUUGCUUGAUUACUGACCUACUUUGCCUUUAAAGUAUACAUUUUAUUCAAGUAUAGAGGUCAGGUGCUGGGUGGCUGCUGAUUAGUUAUACUGGGGGAGGUGGGUGUGAAGGUCCCUGGGCUGAGUUGGACCCUCAGGUGGUUGGGGUUGAGAAGAGGAAGGUGAUUCUGGGGAAGGCAGCAGCACCGAGAUGUGGGCCAGGAUUGAGCGGGAGCCUGGUGGUGCCUUAGAGCAACUCACUAGGGCCCCAGUGAGAGGAGCCCUGGCAGGUGGGAGGAGGUGCAGGAUCCAAGGUAGGGAGCCACAGACAACAAUCAAUGCGAACAGUUUCCUUCCGUCUGGAAAGGGAGAGGGACACAAGAUCCUCCUUGCCAUCCUAUGCCCCUAGGGCUUCUUCUUCCUGAAUUCCAACUCAAAGUUGUUACUAGAAGCUUGUUUCCUUGUGGCUCACCAAGAAACGUGAGCCAGCCUGGCCAGGAUCCCCAAGAGGGAACAGUGCUGGCAGAGAGGGCAAGAGGUGGGCAAAGGUGAAGGAGGCUGAGGAGGGGGUGGUCCGGGGGUGUCUGCCCAAAGGGAAGGUAAAGGUUAAGGAGGGGCUGGGAUUGGUAAGGAAUGGAGGCAGUGACGUUCUCAGUGAUGAGCACCCAGAGACCUGGGUGUUCCAUUCCCCACGUGUGGCCUGUAGUUUCAGACACUUCACCAUCCUACAGACGGGAAUAUUGAGGUCAGAGAGGGCUAAACUCAUUCAGUCUCCUCUGACCCCCUCACACGUGGCCACACUCCUCCAGAGUCCUGCAGCCAGCUGUUGCCUGAGUAUUUUGGGCAUCUGUGGAUCCCAUGGGGAAGGCACAUGGUUCGGCUCUGGAACACGGCACAGGGAGCACAGACUGCCUGGCAUUUGGGAAAAGGCCUGGGGGUGGAGUUGCAAGGUGUGGGAAGGCUUGGACUAAGAAAAUCCCAGCCCUGCUGGGGUUUCUACCUCAAAGAGGAAAGCAUCCAUUAACAAUUGCAUUUUUAAGUUCAGUGGACUGAGAGUACUUCUCUCGCAUUCAAGAUGUUGCCAUUGGGCUGAUUUGCAAUGGCAGGACCUUUUAUUUAUUUUAAAGAAUACAGUCCUAAGAGGCCUAGUGAGACUGACUGCAUUUUACAGGUCAGUAGUGUAGUGGUUCAGUGAAGUGGUCCUCUAGAGUGUCUUGCUGGAGACCAUUUGUUCAAAGGGGCCACUUUAAAGCCUGAUACUCGUAUCUAUACUGGUACAUAGUUUCUGAACUUCUAGCUAAAAUGGAGAAACAACCAAAGAAUUCCUAACAGCUGCAGAUAAUACACUUCUUAAUUUUAAAAAAGCAGAAAUUACAAAGUAAAUAAGAAAAACACAGGCCACAUAUAUAUAUAUAUUCAUUUCCCUAAACUGGCUUUUACCCACUGGCUGGUAGUGUUAUUUCCUUAGAAAGAUGUAUUCCAAGUUCCAAACGAAUGUGCACCUCAGACAUAGCCAGCUCAUCAGUGGGGGGCUGCUCUGCUGAAAUCUGGGGUCCUAGAGGCUGUUCUCCCUCUUUACUGCCUUGCUCCAGCCAUAGACCCAUUUUCUGCAGUCCCCCAAAUUCUGCUUACUUCUUCCCUGCAACACUAGACCUCUCUGCCUGUCAUUGUGUGCCUACUCAGGGCGCCCCACUUCCUUGCCAGCUUUGGCUCCACUUGGUGUAGCCCUGAAGUCCCAACUCCCCUCCUCUCUGCUUCUCCAGUCCCAGCCCUGCCCAAGCCUCGCUCCCCCAAAUGCCUCCCCGCCUGGCUCACCGGAGUUGCAGUGCCGACAGCUCUCGCAGUGGCGCCGGUGGUGGUGGUCUGGUGCGAAGGAGGUCCCGGAGACACAUGGGUUACAGUGGGUGGCCUUUCCAUGCUGGUCACAGUCCUUCACGAGGAAUGUUCCUGUCAGUAGAGGGCCAGGGUCAAGGCCCGCGGGAGGCCGCUUCUCUGCCCCCUUCAAGGUGGUGCCCGUGGGGGGCUGGAUUCCUCUUCUUGCUCAAGCUCAGCCUUGCUCUCUGCUUUCCCUUCACCCCAAACAGCCCCCUCUUCCCCACAUCUCUUACCUGGCUCACACAUCUGACAGCACAGUUGUCCCCCAGCCCAGUAGUGCUUCUCUGGACAGCUCUUGGAGGUUGGGGUAGCUGAGAGCCCCGCCAGGGUCCCCAGCACCCACAGCCAGCAAGGAGGUGGCCGGGCCAUGGCUCCUGCCCAGGAUGCUUUUUCUGUGCCGUGGCUGUGCAGCGCUGGCCUCUGGGGUGGGUAGCUCCCAGCUGGGUGCUGGUGCCUCUUGCACCUCCUGGGUGGUAGCUGCAGGUCUGCUCUGAGUUGCCUGGCUUCAGGUGGCAAGCCAACCUUUGAUGGCAGUUGAAGCUCUAUUGUGGCUGUUUUUCUCUCACAGCGGCACCCUCCUCCCCCUUUUCCGUGUGCUGGGUGCUGGGGAGUGUGUUAAAGGUCAAAGUGUGAGAAGAAGACCUGCUGCUCUUCAAAGAUGCGCUAACAUACCAGCCUCUCCUUGGCUUCUGCCUGUCUCUCUCUCGUGCUUAUGCUCGUGAAGAACAUAAGAUGUUGGGUGUGCAGUCGCCCCUCUUCCUGUUCACUCACUUGUACACAAAGGUGCGCCUGUUACCCUUCUGGUCACAGCUCACAAGCUAAUAAGCACUUGAGAGAAGGAAGGGGACCCAGAACUGAGUACAGGUCCACAUGCUUGGGGUCAGAUAAGUUUUCAAAUUAAGGGUUUCACAGAUUUGGGGGAGAAACUAACUCAGAGCCCCCCUCACAGGACUGAGGUAGCCCUCACAAUCCCGCACAACAUCUCUGCAUUCAGAAUGAUUGACUAUUUCAACCAAGUGGGGCGAAUAAUGACUGACUGCCCUUGCAUUCAUUGGUGCCUGGUUUUAUGGCCAGCGGUGUGCUAUGGAAUUGCUCAGAAUUGCAAACAAGAGAUGGAAACCUGUCGAAACAUGACAUGUGGCCCUGUUUGGUCUUUCUGCCAGCCUGGGAUACGGGAUCACCACUGCCAUCUGGCCAGCCUCCCUCCUCUCCUGUCAUCCUCCCCUUCCUGUCUGGAGCACCUGGGCCAUCUCCUCCCCCAGCCUCGGGCACUUCGGAUCCGGUUCCAGGGCUCAUCUUCCCUAUUUCUGUGAUUCUCCUGGGAAGACUACUUUGGGGAUGUUGGAAAUAGCUGGAUUUUUCCCUCUUUGACCCCUGGGAAUGCAUGGGUCGGAGCCUCCCCUCCUCUUUCUCCAAGGCCUGAGGUAUGGGGUGGCUUAUUUCUCCAGGCCAUUUUUCAUUCAGGGACUUUGCAGUUGUUUCCACACUGCUGGUAAAAUGUCACACUCCUGUGAUCUCACCUGUUAGAUCUGUUCUCUAUCUCACUCUGGUUUCCUUUGUCUUCAUUGUUUCCAUACCCUCCUGCCUGUCCCCAACCCCCUCUGCUCUUCGGGAGGGUCCUCUGAGGGGGAAGUUGCCCAGGGGUGUGAGCUGAAGAGCCGCUGAGGCCCGCCCUUCCUUUCACGCUGGGGCCCAAGGAUGCUGCUGUCACUGGCAGUCCUUCCCCUUCUCAGGUUAAGGGCAGUGUCUUCACUGUUAGUCAUAAGCCUCGGUGGGGCCUGUGGGAUGGGUGAGACCCUAGAGGAAUGGUGACGAUUGGGGACCUGCAGGGAGGGACCUGCCAAAGGGGAGCAGGGGGGCUGAGGGGACCGCCAGCCUGGCCGGCCCAGGGCUACUCAUCCAUGCGAGGCCUACAUUCUCUCAGCCAGGUCCCGAGGCAGUGGGGGCUGCCUGGCUCUCAUGGAGUGCCCCUGGCCAGAGCAGGAAAGCCUGGCUUCCGGACCUUUCUUCUGGGCAAAUGGAAUGACCACCUCUUCUGCCUUCUGUGCUGUUUGCAUGGACUUCUGUGAGCCUUGGCCUCUCCUCAGCUGGCUCCCUAGUCCCCUCCUCUUGUCUACAGGCCCUGCAAGGCCCACCUGCUGACCUCUCCCUCCGAUCUUCUACCACCGCCUUCUCUUUUGGGGUUCAGCCUCUCCCCACACCUGGCUGGCAAAGAGAUAUGGUCUUUUCUAAACAACUCCCUCCCUUUUCUCCCAUCUCUAGAGCCAGGCCCACAGAAGCCCUUCUCUUUUGAUGACUUCCAUUACGUCAGAGAGGGCCUGACCAGCCCCUCAAUCUGGAGCAGUGACUGUAGCCUGUGUGUCAGCUGGGGUCACCCUGCUCCUCAAUAUCUAGAUCAGGUGCCCCUUGCUUUCCCAUCAGGGCAGAGCCUGGGCCGAGUGGGGAGGGCGUGGCGCUGUGGGCUGGUAGGAUUCCAGGUGUCAGGUGUGACGGUCACCUCUUGCUCUGCUUCCUUGUCCACCUGGAGUCUUCUGCUUUCCUCUUUGCUCUGGUGUCUCCUUACCUCUGCCCUGCCCCGGGCUCCACGUUUGGGACACAGGGCUUUCUUGAAUUUUCCUCCAAACCAACUGCUACCAGAAGAGUGUUAUGCAUGGCAAAACUUCUACUGAAGCUUAUAUAGCAUAAAGAUGUAAUUUAAAAUCUCAUUUUGGAUAUUCUUGUUCUUCCUGGUCUUUCCCACCCCAGAGAUUUGUUAGUGUGGCUACCCUGCAAAGCAGAAGGGCACUGACCAUCCUGCCGACUCCUCUCUCCCUUCCUGCCUCCUUUUUCCACGGCACGCUGCCUUUUAGAAAUCUUCUGUCAGGCAGCAUACCUCCUCUCUCUUUAGCCCCUAAUCCAAAAAUCAGUUGUGACCUUUUAUAAAUCUAUACACAGAGUACUCAGAGGAAUUAAAGUCUUUCAAGACAUUUACCUAGAAGAACGUUCUGUUAUAUUACAUUGCUGUCAGAAACCACAGCUCCUGAUCCUUAUCAACCAAACCCCUUGGUUUUUCCAGCCUUCUUCGUGCCCUCCUCCACUCCUACUUUCUUUGAUGCCCCGCACCCCACCAUAUCCUCCUGCCUUAGAUCCCCCUUCCCAGCCAGUUUUUGAGAGACAACUGGGCAGGACAGUGGGGUGACCUGGUCAGUGAGGGUCUGUGUGCUCACAUCCCAGUUCUAUAAUUUGCAUUCCUGGGAUUCCUCAGUCUGGGUCUCAUGGGGGACUGACCAACUGUGGACAUUUCUUCCAACCUCUGACCACAUUUCAGUACCUCAGCCCCAAAUCCUAGUGUCUCCUAGCACGCAGGCACUCAUGAACUAUUUGAUGGUCUAGCCUCAGCCUUGCCCAUGACAGUUCUAUCCACAGUAUCAGGUUGAAACUUCAGGGGGCCCAAGGGCGCAUUCACCUCCUAAACUCCACGCCUCAUGCAUUUGACAAGUUUUUGUUGCAUGUCCAUCCUGUGCCAGGUACCAGCUAAGGGACAGGCCACAAGGGUGAGAAAUAACAUGUGGUUUCUGCCCUCAUGGAGUUGACACACCAGCGAGAGAGUCAGACAUUGGUCAGAUAAUCUCAAAGGCAAAUAUGGAGUUAUUAGUAAUGGUCAUUACUGCAGUACCAUGAGAGGACAGUCGGGGCGCCUGUCCCCUAAUGGGGGAUUUGAGAGUUGGGGCCUCAACUAGGAAGCAUAGUUGAAUGGAGGUAAGUGAGAUCUGACUGCUCUCCACUUUCUUGAGAAUUGUUUCUUUGCUUUGGGUUUCUCGACCCCUACCCUAGUCUUCCUUUGAUCACUUCUCUUACUUGAUCAGUGGUUGUUUUUCUUAUAAACAGAUGAUAUGAAAUAGGGAUGAUCUGUUGCUUGAAGGCAGAAUUUGUAAAUUGGUAGAAUUUACAUGUGUGCAUGCGUAUUUUGAAAAAUUUUCACUACUGAUUUAAUUCAGGUUUUCCAUUUCUUCUAGUGUCAGUUUUGGUAGGUUAUAGUUUUCUGGGAGAUUGUCUGUUUAAUCUGUUUCAGAUUUAUGGGCAGAAUUGUUUAAAUCGCCAGUAGAUCGGUAAUUAUUUUUCCCUUUUUCACUCCUGAUAUUGUUCAUUUAUAGUUUCCUCAUUUUUUCUUGAUACACUUUGCCAGAAAUAUGUCUAACUUAUUAAUUGCUUCAAAGAACCACUUUUGAUUUUAUUGUUUUCUGUAUUAUUCUUUGCUUUCUGUUCCAUUUUACACUCUGAUCUAAUUUUAAAAUUAUUUCCUUCCUUUAAUUUUCCUGGAGUUUAUUGUGCUAUUCUUCUGACUUCUGGAUUAUUUGAUUCAUUGAUUUAACUUUUUCUUUUCUGAUAUCUGCAUUUAAGGCUAUAGACUUCCCUCUAAGAGCUAUUUAGCCACAUCUCUUAAGUUUCGCUGUAUUGUGUUUUCAUUAUUGUUUGUUAUUUUUUGCCAUUAUUAUUUAUUUUGACAUAUUUAUUCAUAAGUACAUUUUAAAACUUCCAGACAAAUGAAGUCUACAUUUUUUUCCUUUUUUAAAAAUUAAUUUUGGCUUUAUUUUAUUGUGGUCAGAGAAUGUCAUCUGUACGUGUAAUAUGGUAGGCAGAAUAUCGCCCCCCCCCCCAGUGCUGUCUCCAUCCCAGGAACUGAACAGGUUCUGUUACAUGGCAAAGGGGAAUUAAAGUUGCAGACAGAAUCAAGGUUGCUGAUCUGCCGACCUUGACGUAGGAGAUUACCCUGCAUUAUGGAGGUAGAUCCAUUGUAAUAGAAGGCUCCUGUGAGUGGAAGAGAUGCAGAGAGAGAACCGGAGAGACACUCCUGUGAGUGGAAGAAAUUCAGAGAGAGAACUGGAGAGACGCUCCUGUGAGUGGAAGAGAUGCAGAGAGAGAACUGGAGAGACGGCAGCACGAGAAUUCAGCAUGAUGCUGACUUUGAAGAUGGAGGAAGAGGUCCAUGAGCCAUGGACUGGGGGAGGCCUCCAGAAGCUAGAAUGAGCAGGGAAACUGAUUGUCCCCCGGCACUUCCAGGAAGAAACGCAGCCUGCCAACACUUGCAUUUAGCCUAGCGAAACCCAUGCCAAAUCUGACCCAUGGAACUCUGACAGUAAAUUUGGGUUCUUGACAGCCACUUAGUUUGUGACCAUUGGUUAUAGCAACCAUAGAAAACUAGUACAUACAGAUCCCCUGGCCUGUGUUUGAGAUUUACUCUGUGGCCUAGAGUGUAACUGUAAAUGUUCCAUAUGUGCUUGAAAAAAAUGUGUACUUGUAAACCAAACUUUUUUGAUUUUGUAUUUCAUU